UGAGAGCGGCGUACGGGUGCGUAACACGUGUGCAACCUGCCUUUAUCUGGGGGAUAGCCUUUCGAAAGGAAGAUUAAUACCCCAUAAUAUAUUGAUUGGCAUCAAUUAAUAUUGAAAGCUCCGGCGGAUAGAGAUGGGCACGCGUAAGAUUAGCUAGUUGGUGAGGUAACGGCUCACCAAGGCUGCGAUCUUUAGGGGGCCUGAGAGGGUGAUCCCCCACACUGGUACUGAGACACGGACCAGACUCCUACGGGAGGCAGCAGUGAGGAAUAUUGGACAAUGGGUGAAAGCCUGAUCCAGCCAUCCCGCGUGAAGGACUAAGGACCUAUGGUUUGUAAACUUCUUUUAUACAGGGAUAAACCUACUCUCGUGAGGCUAGCUGAAGGUACUGUAUGAAUAAGCACCGGCUAACUCCGUGCCAGCAGCCGCGGUAAUACGGAGGGUGCAAGCGUUAUCCGGAUUUAUUGGGUUUAAAGGGUCCGUAGGCGGGUCGAUAAGUCAGUGGUGAAAGCCUGCAGCUUAACUGUAGAACUGCCGUUGAUACUGUCGGUCUUGAGUGUAUUUGAGGUAGCUGGAAUGAGUAGUGUAGCGGUGAAAUGCAUA
RNAcentral lists this ribosomal RNA (603 nucleotides) under uncultured bacterium. Its description in RNAcentral is "bacterial SSU rRNA". It matches the Rfam family "Bacterial small subunit ribosomal RNA", at positions 90 to 692 of the family's 1533-position model. The record is from RNAcentral.